GUAGUGAGUCUUGUGUAGGUGGUGGUGGAAGGUGUAGUGAGUCUUGUGUAGGUGGUGGUGGCAGAUGUAGUGAACCUUGUGUAGGUGGUGGUGGCAGGUGUAGUGAACCUUGUGUAGGUGGUGGUGGAAGGUGUAGUGAACCUUGUGUAGGUGGUGGUGGAAGGUGUAGUGAGUCUUGUGUAGGUGGUGGUGGAAGGUGUAGUGAGUCUUGUGUAGGUGGUGGUGGCAGGUGUAGUGAACCUUGUGUAGGUGGUGGUAUCAGGUGUAGUGAACCUUGUGUAGGUGGUGGUGUCAGGUGUAGUGAGUCUUGUGUAGGUGGUGGUAUCAGGUGUAGUGAACCUUGUGUAGGUGGUGGUAUCAGGUGUAGUGAACCUUGUGUAGGUGGUGGUGUCAGGUGUAGUGAGCUUGUGUAGGUGGUGGUAUCAGGUGUAGUGAACCUUGUGUAGGUGGUGGUGGCAGGUGUAGUGAGUCUUGUGUAGGUGGUGGUGUCAGGUGUAGUGAGCUUGUGUAGGUGGUGGUAUCAGGUUUAGUGAACCUUGUGUAGGUGGUGGUGUCAGGUGUAGUGAGUCUUGUGUAGGUGGUGGUGUUAGUUGUAGUGAGCUUGUCUAGGUGGUGGUAUCAGUGUAGUGAACCUUGUGUAGGUGGUGGUGGCAGGUGUAGUGAGUCUUGUGUAUGUGGUGGUAUCAGGUGUAGUGAACCUUGUGUAGGUGGUGGUGGCAGGUGUAGUGAGUCUUGUGUAGGUGGUGGUAUCAGGUGUAGUGAACCUUGUGUAGGUGGUGGUAUCAGGUGUAGUGAAUCUUG
Molecule: non-coding RNA, 801 nt
Organism: Cherax quadricarinatus
Lineage: Eukaryota; Metazoa; Arthropoda; Malacostraca; Decapoda; Parastacidae
Source: RefSeq, a predicted model, not a curated record